UACGUAGGGUGCAAGCGUUGUCCGGAAUUAUUGGGCGUAAAGAGCUCGUAGGCGGUUUGUUGCGUCGGCUGUGAAAUCCCGAGGCUCAACCUCGGGCCUGCGGUGGGUACGGGCAGGCUAGAGUUCGGUAGGGGAGACUGGAAUUCCUGGUGUAGCGGUGAAAUGCGCAGAUAUCAGGAGGAACACCGAUGGCGAAGGCAGGUCUCUGGGCCGAUACUGACGCUGAGGAGCGAAAGCGUGGGGAGCGAACAGG
This 253-nucleotide ribosomal RNA is filed under the name uncultured bacterium. Its description in RNAcentral is "partial 16S ribosomal RNA". It matches the Rfam family "Bacterial small subunit ribosomal RNA", at positions 524 to 776 of the family's 1533-position model. The record is from RNAcentral.